UACGAAGGGGGCUAGCGUUGCUCGGAAUCACUGGGCGUAAAGGGCGCGCAGGCGGGUUUUUAAGUCAGGGGUGAAAUCCUGGAGCUCAACUCCAGAACUGCCUUUGAUACUGAAGAUCUUGAGUCCGGGAGAGGUGAGUGGAACUGCGAGUGUAGAGGUGAAAUUCGUAGAUAUUCGCAAGAACACCAGUGGCGAAGGCGGCUCACUGGCCCGGUACUGACGCUGAGGCACGAAAGCGUGGGGAGCAAACAGG
Molecule: ribosomal RNA, 253 nt
Filed under: uncultured bacterium
Lineage: Bacteria
Description: partial 16S ribosomal RNA
Rfam family: Bacterial small subunit ribosomal RNA
Source: RNAcentral